This 418-nucleotide ribosomal RNA is filed under the name Vibrio sp. con6. RNAcentral describes it as "bacterial SSU rRNA". It matches the Rfam family "Bacterial small subunit ribosomal RNA", at positions 49 to 452 of the family's 1533-position model. The record is from RNAcentral. Lineage: Bacteria; Pseudomonadati; Pseudomonadota; Gammaproteobacteria; Vibrionales; Vibrionaceae.
UAACACAUGCAAGUCGAUCCGGAAACGAGUUAUCUGAACCUUCGGGGAACGAUAACGGCGUCGAGCGGCGGACGGGUGAGUAAUGCCUGGGAAAUUGCCCUGAUGUGGGGGAUAACUAUUGGAAACGAUAGCUAAUACCGCAUAACGUCUACGGACCAAAGAGGGGGACCUUCGGGCCUCUCGCUUCAGGAUAUGCCCAGGUGGGAUUAGCUAGUUGGUGAGGUAAUGGCUCACCAAGGCGACGAUCCCUAGCUGGUCUGAGAGGAUGAUCAGCCACACUGGAACUGAGACACGGUCCAGACUCCUACGGGAGGCAGCAGUGGGGAAUAUUGCACAAUGGGCGCAAGCCUGAUGCAGCCAUGCCGCGUGUAUGAAGAAUGCCUUCGGGUUGUAAAGUACUUUCAGUCGUGAGGAAGGC